AUACGGAGGGUGCAAGCGUUAAUCGGAAUUACUGGGCGUAAAGCGUACGUAGGCGGUUCGUUAAGUUAGGUGUGAAAGCCCCGGGCUUAACCUGGGAACUGCAUUUAAAACUGGCGAACUAGAGUUGAGUAGAGGGGAGUGGAAUUUCAGGUGUAGCGGUGAAAUGCGUAGAGAUCUGAAGGAACACCAGUGGCGAAGGCGACUCCCUGGACUCGAACUGACGCUGAGGUACGAAAGCGUGGGUAGCAAACGGGAUUAGAUACCCUAGUAGUCC
RNAcentral lists this ribosomal RNA (274 nucleotides) under uncultured bacterium. RNAcentral describes it as "partial 16S ribosomal RNA". It matches the Rfam family "Bacterial small subunit ribosomal RNA", at positions 523 to 796 of the family's 1533-position model. The record is from RNAcentral.